Molecule: long non-coding RNA, 558 nt
Filed under: Coturnix japonica (Japanese quail)
Lineage: Eukaryota; Metazoa; Chordata; Aves; Galliformes; Phasianidae
Description: lncRNA (ENSCJPG00005004965.1)
Source: RNAcentral
UACAUCCAUGACAUGCAAAGAGGAGGAGUUUAGUUUUAUAUUUUAAUCUCUGUCAAUUUAAAUUGCUGUCUGAUGAGAUUUUUUUAUUAUUAUUAUUUAUUAUUAUUAUAUAUAUUUUUUAACAUUUCCAGUAAGAAAUUCUACAAUGCACCAGCAAGCUGAAAAUCAAAGGGAGUACUAUUUUCCAUAAAUUGAAAAUUUAAACCAUGGAACUCACUGUCACAGAGCAUGACAAUGGAAGUCGAAAUUCUAAAUGUUCUAGAGAACAAUUCCAUGGAAGCAAAGUGUUUCAAGGGCUGCCAGCAACAGCAAUGCAUCUGCAGUCCAGGAAGUCCCUCUGGACUGUCCCACAAGGAGAAGAAAAGAGAGGUACUGUACAUAGGGUUUGGAGAGUCAGCAGCUGUCUCCAGGUAAACAUUCCCAGAUCUUGGCAUAAAGAUAGCUGGUCCAGUACAGCAUGACCAUCAGCUGUCUGUGCUUUCCCACAAUACCGUUAAUCUGCCUUAACCCUGGUGUGAAGGGAGUUAUUGUAGCAAUAAAAGAGUAGUUUGCUUGUCA